GCAGGUGUGUAGCGUUACUCGAAUUUCAAGAUUCAAAAUUAUUUAUCUCCUAAACUUCUUAUCAUUUUUUAAAUCCGUUUGAACCAUGAGGUUAUUUAGAAUUAAUGUGACAAAAGAAGAUGCAUAAUGCUUUUUUUUAAAAAUAAAUAUUCAACAUUUUGCAUGAACUGUUUCAACAUUUAAACUAACAUUUUAACGUUGUUUUAACAUUUUUUUUGAAAAGGAGCUGUUUCAACAUUUAGACUAAAUGUUUCAACACUUUUAUGCUGUUUCAACAUUUAGAUUAAAUGUUUCAACACUUUUAUAUUGUUUCAAUAUUUAAAAAAAUGUUGAGCCAUAAUGUUGGUGAAGGAAAAAAAAGUUGAAGAAAAAUGUUGGUAUGUGUAAAAAAAUGUUGAGCCCUAAUGUUGGUGAAUGUAAUAAAGUUGAAGAAAAAUGUUGGUGCAUAUAAAAAGGUUGCUCAACAUUAAAAAAUGCUGUUGUGCUGUUGACAAUUAAGUUUUGCUUUGAAGAAAAUGUUGACGAAUGCCAUGAAAUGGUGAUGAAUGUCAAACAAAUGUUAAAGAAAAAAUUUGGUACACAUAAAAAAAUUAAACAAAAUACGUUGAAAAAGAAAAAUGUUGCUUAGCAUCAAUAAAAUGUUAGUAUAUUCGAAAAAUGUUCAAAAAUAAUUUGAUUCAAAAUAUAGUCAAGUGUGAUCUUGUUUUGUAGAUCUUAUCGUAAAGAAUACAAUGGUCC
Molecule: long non-coding RNA, 738 nt
Filed under: Setaria viridis
Lineage: Eukaryota; Viridiplantae; Streptophyta; Magnoliopsida; Poales; Poaceae
Description: long non-coding RNA (SVIR_LNC004771)
Source: RNAcentral